UACGAAGGGGGCUAGCGUUGCUCGGAAUCACUGGGCGUAAAGCGCACGUAGGUGGUUUCUUAAGUCAGGGGUGAAAUCCCGGAGCUCAACUCCGGAACUGCCUUUGAUACUGGGAGACUUGAGUUCGGGAGAGGUGAGUGGAACUGCGAGUGUAGAGGUGAAAUUCGUAGAUAUUCGCAAGAACACCAGUGGCGAAGGCGGCUCACUGGCCCGAUACUGACACUGAGGUGCGAAAGCGUGGGGAGCGAACAGG
Molecule: ribosomal RNA, 253 nt
Filed under: uncultured bacterium
Lineage: Bacteria
Description: partial 16S ribosomal RNA
Rfam family: Bacterial small subunit ribosomal RNA
Source: RNAcentral